AUGAGGUAGGAAGAGGAAUAAAUAUUUUAGGAGCAGUGCGAAUGGGAACACGGAGGAAAUCCUGAGCUAUCCGCCUGCGCCUCUAGAACCAUAGGUGCAUAUCUACCUCAGUGUUUCCCCAUGCCUCCAUUCCUAUUGUUCUUAGGUUCACCUUCCCCUUCCUUUUACCU
RNAcentral lists this microRNA precursor (170 nucleotides) under Triticum aestivum (bread wheat). RNAcentral's name for it is "MIR2118 microRNA precursor family". It matches the Rfam family "MIR2118 microRNA precursor family". RNAcentral also lists the same sequence under 1 other name. Lineage: Eukaryota; Viridiplantae; Streptophyta; Magnoliopsida; Poales; Poaceae. The record is from Rfam by way of RNAcentral.